CUACGUAGGUGGCAAGCGUUGUCCGGAUUUACUGGGCGUAAAGGGCGUGCAGGCGGUUCGUUAAGUUCGAGGUGAAAGCUCCCGGCUCAACUGGGAGAGGUCCCCGGAUACUGGCGGACUUGAGGGAGGCAGAGGAAAGUGGAAUUCCCGGUGUAGUGGUGAUAUGCGUAGAUAUCGGGAGGAACACCAGUGGCGAAGGCGGCUUUCUGGGCCUUACCUGACGCUGAGACGCGAAAGCGUGGGGAGCGAACCGGAUUAGAAACCCGAGUAGUCC
RNAcentral lists this ribosomal RNA (274 nucleotides) under uncultured bacterium. Its description in RNAcentral is "partial 16S ribosomal RNA". It matches the Rfam family "Bacterial small subunit ribosomal RNA", at positions 523 to 796 of the family's 1533-position model. The record is from RNAcentral.